GACAUCCUAGUGUGAUUAAAAUAUUUGAAGAAAAUUUCUUUAGAAAACUCUCGGCCUCUACGUCUACCCCAGCGUUUAGAACAGUGCCUGGCAUUCGAGCAGAUGACAUCCUAGUGUGAUUAAAACAUUUGAAGAAAAUUUCUUUAGAAAACUCUCGGCCUCUACGUCUACCCCAGCGUUUAGAACAGUGCCUGGCAUUCGAGCGAAUGACAUCCUAGUGUGAUUAAAAUAUUUGAAGAAAAUUUCUUUAGAAAACUCUCAGCCUCUACGUCUACUCCAGCAUUUAGAACAGUGCCUGGC
This is a long non-coding RNA of Tachyglossus aculeatus (Australian echidna), 300 nucleotides long. RefSeq lists it as uncharacterized. The transcript has 3 exons. The record is from RefSeq and is a predicted model, not a curated record. NCBI's taxonomy places the organism in Eukaryota, Metazoa, Chordata, Mammalia, Monotremata, Tachyglossidae.